Molecule: ribosomal RNA, 597 nt
Filed under: Triticum aestivum (bread wheat)
Lineage: Eukaryota; Viridiplantae; Streptophyta; Magnoliopsida; Poales; Poaceae
Description: partial small subunit ribosomal RNA
Source: RNAcentral
AUGACGGCGCCGAGGAGGUGGAGGUUCGCGAUGGUCUGCUCGUCGAACAUGAACCGGAGCAUGGAGGCGCACGCGGUGCUGGGCCGCGCGGCACUCGACGUCGAGUCCUACGGCACCGGCUCCCAGGUGAAGCUCCCAGGCCCGUCGAUGCACGAGCCCAACGUCUACGACUUCGGCACCCCUUACGGCGGCAUCUACGACGACCUCCGCCGCAAGGACCCCGACCUGUACAAGAGGAACGGCCUACUGCCAAUGCUGAAGAGGAACAUCUCGGUGAAGCUGGCGCCGCAGAGGUGGCAGGAUAACGCCGGUGAUGGGGUGUUUGAUAUGAUACUCACCUUUGAGGAGAGGGUCUNNNNNNNNNNNNNNNNNNAUAUGAAUAACCGUGAACAGAGGUUAUUGAAGAGCGUGCUGAUAAUCAAUAUGGACGUGAAAGAUAACCAUGAAGAAGCUGCUAUUGGGGCGAAGCUUGCUUUAGAUUUAUGCCACAAGCUUGAAGCAGUGGCUGGUGAUUGGGAGGAAAUAAUCGAUGACCUGAUUGCUGCAUUCGAGAAGCAGCACAAGCGGAAGCUCACAUACUACAUCUCGUUUUACUGA